UUGGUAGCCCAGAGAUGGAAGUCCUCUAUUUUUAUCCACAGAUCAGGUACAGCACAAACAGUGGCUUCCUCUCUUCACACAUGAUCUUGCCAGUACACUUCACCCUAAAAUAGUGACCAGUUCUGUAGGGAUGGCAGGGUGUUCGGUCUUCAAAUGUAUUCAAUCCUUCAUCUCU
This 175-nucleotide small RNA is filed under the name Chrysemys picta bellii (western painted turtle). Its description in RNAcentral is "TUC338 (ENSCPBG00000021486.1)". Lineage: Eukaryota; Metazoa; Chordata; Testudines; Emydidae. The record is from RNAcentral.